CUGCAGUCGAACGGCAGCACGGAGCUUGCUCUGGUGGCGAGUGGCGAACGGGUGAGUAAUAUAUCGGAACGUACCCUGGAGUGGGGGAUAACGUAGCGAAAGUUACGCUAAUACCGCAUACGAUCUAAGGAUGAAAGUGGGGGAUCGCAAGACCUCAUGCUCGUGGAGCGGCCGAUAUCUGAUUAGCUAGUUGGUAGGGUAAAAGCCUACCAAGGCAUCGAUCAGUAGCUGGUCUGAGAGGACGACCAGCCACACUGGAACUGAGACACGGUCCAGACUCCUACGGGAGGCAGCAGUGGGGAAUUUUGGACAAUGGGCGAAAGCCUGAUCCAGCAAUGCCGCGUGAGUGAAGAAGGCCUUCGGGUUGUAAAGCUCUUUUGUCAGGGAAGAAACGGUGAGAGCUAAUAUCUCUUGCUAAUGACGGUACCUGAAGAAUAAGCACCGGCUAACUACGUGCCAGCAGCCGCGGUAAUACGUAGGGUGCAAGCGUUAAUCGGAAUUACUGGGCGUAAAGCGUGCGCAGGCGGUUUUGUAAGUCUGAUGUGAAAUCCCCGGGCUCAACCUGGGAAUUGCAUUGGAGACUGCAAGGCUAGAAUCUGGCAGAGGGGGGUAGAAUUCCACGUGUAGCAGUGAAAUGCGUAGAUAUGUGGAGGAACACCGAUGGCGAAGGCAGCCCCCUGGGUCAAGAUUGACGCUCAUGCACGAA
RNAcentral lists this ribosomal RNA (706 nucleotides) under Janthinobacterium sp. Y4_667. Its description in RNAcentral is "bacterial SSU rRNA". It matches the Rfam family "Bacterial small subunit ribosomal RNA", at positions 55 to 757 of the family's 1533-position model. Lineage: Bacteria; Pseudomonadati; Pseudomonadota; Betaproteobacteria; Burkholderiales; Oxalobacteraceae. The record is from RNAcentral.